UUUUUAGAAGAACUUUUCUUCUAUAAAACGAUGCAUUUUACAAUUCUGUAGGAAUUUUUUUAGCGCAGCAAAAUAUAAAGAAGAAAAUAAAAAUUAUUCUUAAUAACCCAGAGAUAACACCUGUAAAUAUUUGAUGGCUUGUUAUGUAUACCCGACAUGAUCAGCAUUAUAUGCAUAUCUGCUUUUCAUUCUUUGUGCAUCAAAAAUAUUUGUUUUGUUUUUUUUUUUAUAGAGACGGGGUUUCCCCAUGUUGGCCAGGCUGGUCUUGAACUCCUGACCUCAGGUGAUAUGCCUGCCUUGGCCUCCCAAAGUGCUGGGAUUACAGGCAUGAGCCACCGUGCCUGGCCACAAAUAUUUCUUAAUUCAUAAAAUAUUUCCUUUUAAAAAAUCUUU
This 393-nucleotide long non-coding RNA is filed under the name Homo sapiens (human). RNAcentral describes it as "non-protein coding lnc-EGLN3-4:1". Lineage: Eukaryota; Metazoa; Chordata; Mammalia; Primates; Hominidae. The record is from RNAcentral.